RNAcentral lists this long non-coding RNA (375 nucleotides) under Marmota monax (woodchuck). Lineage: Eukaryota; Metazoa; Chordata; Mammalia; Rodentia; Sciuridae. The record is from RNAcentral.
CCUGGAUCUCUGUGCCUCCUAUGUCUGUACAUGUCUUACUACUUUGACCGUGAUGAUGUGGCUUUGAAGAGCUUUGCCAAAUAUUUUCUUCACCAAUCUUAUGAGGAGAGGGAACAUGCCGAGAAACUGAUGAAGCUGCAGAACCAAGGAGGUGGCCGAAUUUUCCUUCAGGAUAUCAAGAAACCAGAUCGUGAUGACUGGGAGAGUGGGCUCAAUGCAAUGGAGUGUGCUUUGCACUCGGAGAAAAGUGUGAACAGUCACUUCUGGAACUGCACAAACUGGCCACUGAUAAAAAUGACCCCCACUUGUGUGAUUUCAUUGAGACUCAUUACCUGAAUGAGUAGAUGACAUCCAUCAAAGAAUUGAGUGACCAUG